AUGGCCGACGGCGUCCUCUCGUCUGCCGUCCACCCGAACGGGCACUCCCCGGAGUUCGUCUUCAGGCAGUACCGCGGCCGCCGCGCCGGCAUUGUGAAGGCCCUCACCGAAGAUGUGGAGGAGUUCUACGAGCAGUGCGACCCUGACGAGAAGGCCUUGUGCCUCUUUGGACUGCCUGAUGGGACCUGGGAAGUGAGUCAACUACCUGAGGAGAUCCCUGUUCAACUUCCUGAGCCAGUAUGUGGGAUAAACUUUGCUCGUGAUGUUACACCCAAGAAAGUUUGGCUAUCUAUGAUAGCUAUUCAUAGUGAUGCAUGGUUAAUGUCCAUAGCAUUUUACCACGCGGGUCGUGUCUCAUUUGACAGAGUUGGCAGGGAACAGCUCUUCAGGUUGAUCAAUCGUCUUCCCACUGUCUAUGAAGCUGUGACAGGAAGCUAUGAGAGGCAAGCACAGACCGCCAACGGCAGCAGGAAAAAUAAGUCCAGCUCCCAGCCACCAAACCAAUUCACUUCUAACUGCAAGCCGGUGACACCGGCCCUGCCGACGCCCAAGGAAGAUAACUACGCCGAUUUUAACAGCUGGACGGUAAUGGAGGACCGGCCAAUGCUCAAGGAAGAGGAUGGUGGCAAAGAGGGUGGAGGCGGCGAGGAUCAAGCUAUAACCAAGUGUGCCGGUUGCAAGGAGAUCUACAGCGCUAACGACGGGCACCUAUGGAUUGGCUGCGACCACUGUCAGAGGUGGUUCCACGGCAAGUGUGUCGGCGUGACUGCUGAGAUGGCGAGCCGAAUCGAGGACUACAUGUGCCCUGGUUGCAGCUACAAAGCCACGACAAAAGCUUCUGACUCAAUAUAG
Molecule: ribosomal RNA, 852 nt
Filed under: Triticum aestivum (bread wheat)
Lineage: Eukaryota; Viridiplantae; Streptophyta; Magnoliopsida; Poales; Poaceae
Description: partial small subunit ribosomal RNA
Source: RNAcentral